This 322-nucleotide ribosomal RNA is filed under the name Allapsidae sp. Its description in RNAcentral is "SSU rRNA". The stretch from base 106 to 322 matches the Rfam family "Eukaryotic small subunit ribosomal RNA", at positions 737 to 955 of the family's 1831-position model. RNAcentral also lists the same sequence under 2 other names. The record is from RNAcentral. Lineage: Eukaryota; Cercozoa; Glissomonadida; Viridiraptoridae.
GAUUUCUGGCCUGACGUGCCUGGCCCGCCAGCGUUAGCUGUGUGAGUGUCGGGACGCGUCUGCCAUCCUUCUAGAAAACGUUCCUACUCUUCAUUGAGCCGGGGACGCUAUCUAGAUCUUUUACUUUGAAAAAAUUAGAGUGUUUAAAGCAGGCUUUUGCUAUGAAUACAUUAGCAUGGAAUAAUAAUCUAGGACUUCGGUUCUAUUUUGUUGGUUUCUAGGACUGAAGUAAUGAUUGAUAGGGAUAGUUGGGGGUGCUAGUAUUCAGCGGCCAGAGGUGAAAUUCUCGGAUUCGCUGAAGACUAACUUAUGCGAAAGCAUU